RNAcentral lists this ribosomal RNA (165 nucleotides) under Gigasporaceae sp. RNAcentral's name for it is "partial small subunit ribosomal RNA". The record is from RNAcentral. Lineage: Eukaryota; Fungi; Glomeromycota; Glomeromycetes; Diversisporales; Gigasporaceae.
CCAAUAGCGUAUAUUAAAGUUGUUGCUGUUAAAAAGCUCGUAGUUGAAUUUCGGGGGUUCUACCGUUGGUCAGGCAAUUGUCUGUACUGGCGUGUAGAAUUUUCUCCCUUUUGGGGAACUAUCAUGUCAUUAAUUUAGCGUGGUAGGAAGCCAGGACCUUACCUU